GGAGGAGUGACUGAGUGGCCGAAAGUGGCGGUCUUGAAAACCGUUGACCUUAACGGGUCCGUGGGUUCGAAUCCUACCUCCUCCGCCA
RNAcentral lists this transfer RNA (88 nucleotides) under Desulfoconvexum algidum. RNAcentral's name for it is "tRNA-Ser". It matches the Rfam family "tRNA". From Rfam's summary of the family: Transfer RNA (tRNA) molecules are approximately 80 nucleotides in length. Their secondary structure includes four short double-helical elements and three loops (D, anti-codon, and T loops). RNAcentral also lists the same sequence under 2 other names. Lineage: Bacteria; Pseudomonadati; Thermodesulfobacteriota; Desulfobacteria; Desulfobacterales; Desulfobacteraceae. The record is from RNAcentral.